UUAAGUGAAUAAGGGCGCACGGAGGAUGCCUUGGCACUAGGAGUCGAAGAAGGACGCGACAAACGGCGAAACGCCUCGGGGAGCUGUAAGUGAGCAUUGAUCCGGGGGUAUCCGAAUGGGGAAACCCGCUAGUGGUUAUACGCUAGCACCAUAUGGUGAAUACAUAGCCAUAUAGGAGACAGACCCAGGGAACUGAAACAUCUAAGUACCUGGAGGAAAAGAAAGAAAAAUCGAUUCCCGUAGUAGCGGCGAGCGAAGUGGGAAGAGCCCAAACCGGAUUUAUCCGGGGUUGUAGGACCUUCAUAAUUGACAAAUCAUGAUAGCCGAAUGGUCUGGGAAGGCCAACCGUAGGGGGUGAGAGUCCCGUAGGUGAAAUUGUGAGAUGCAUGGAAGGAAUCCUGAGUACGGCGGGACACGUGGAAUCCCGUCGGAAUCAACGAGGACCAUCUCGUAAGGCUAAAUACUACCUAGUGACCGAUAGUGAACCAGUACCGUGAGGGAAAGGUGAAAAGAACCCCGGGAGGGGAGUGAAAGAGAACCUGAAACCGUGUGCCUACAAAUAGUCAGAGCCCGUUAAUGGGUGAUGGCGUGCCUUUUGUAGAAUGAACCGGCGAGUUACGAUAUCGUGCGAGGUUAAGCAGAAGAUGCGGAGCCGUAGCGAAAGCGAGUCUGAAUAGGGCGAAGAGUACGAUGUUGUAGACCCGAAACCGUGUGAGCUAGCCAUGAGCAGGCUGAAGGUCAGGUAACACUGACUGGAGGGCCGAACCAGGGCACGUUGAAAAGUGCUUGGAUGACUUGUGGCUAGGGGUGAAAUUCCAAUCGAACACGGAUAUAGCUGGUUCUCUCCGAAAUAGCUUUAGGGCUAGCCUCGAUGUUAAGUCUACUGGAGGUAGAGCACUGAAUGGGUGAUGGCCCCACCUCGGGGUACUGAUCUCAAUCAAACUCCGAAUGCCAGAUAGAUAUAAUCGGGAGUCAGACUGUGGGUGAUAAGGUCCAUGGUCAAAAGGGAAAGAGCCCAGACCGCCAGCUAAGGCCCCCAAGUGUCCGUUAAGUGGAAAAGGAUGUGGAGAUGCACAGACAACUAGGAGGUUGGCUUAGAAGCAGCCAUCCUUUAAAGAGUGCGUAAUAGCUCACUAGUCGAGUGACUCUGCGCCGAAAAUGUACCGGGGCUAAACGGACCGCCGAAGCUGCGGAUUGACUUUAGAGUCAGUGGUAGGAGAGCGUUCUAACAGCGGUGAAGCAGUACCGGAAGGAGCUGUGGAGCGGUUAGAAGUGAGAAUGCCGGUGUGAGUAGCGAAAGAUAGGUGAGAAUCCUAUCCAUCGAAAGCCUAAGGUUUCCAGGGGAAGGCUCGUCCGCCCUGGGUAAGUCGGGACCUAAGGUGAGGCCGAAAGGCGUAGCCGAUGGACAACAGGUUGAUAUUCCUGUACCACUUAUUAAACUGAUGGAGUGACGGAGAAGGCUAAGUUGAGCGUGUGAUUGGAUUCACGUGUAAGCAGUGAGGUGGUCAUGUAGGCAAAUCCGCAUGGCAUAACAUUGAGCUGUGAUGCCGAAGCCGACUGGCGAAGUCAACUGACGUCACGCUUCCAAGAAAAGCUUCUAGGGUUAAUUUAAUAAGUGCCCGUACCGAUAACCGACACAGGUAGGCGAGGAGAGAAUCCUAAGAUGAGCGAGAGAACUCUUGUUAAGGAACUCGGCAAAAUGACCCCGUAACUUCGGGAGAAGGGGUGCUUGUGAAAGCAAGCCGCAGUGAAUAGGCCCAGGCGACUGUUUAUCAAAAACACAGGUCUCUGCUAAACCGCAAGGUGAUGUAUAGGGGCUGACGCCUGCCCGGUGCUGGAAGGUUAAGAGGAGAGGUUAGCGCAAGCGAAGCUUUGAAUUGAAGCCCCAGUAAACGGCGGCCGUAACUAUAACGGUCCUAAGGUAGCGAAAUUCCUUGUCGGGUAAGUUC
Molecule: ribosomal RNA, 1949 nt
Filed under: human gut metagenome
Description: bacterial LSU rRNA
Rfam family: Bacterial large subunit ribosomal RNA
Source: RNAcentral